This 324-nucleotide ribosomal RNA is filed under the name uncultured eukaryote. RNAcentral describes it as "partial 18S ribosomal RNA". It matches the Rfam family "Eukaryotic small subunit ribosomal RNA", at positions 1470 to 1796 of the family's 1831-position model. The record is from RNAcentral.
CCCUUAGAUGUUCUGGGCCGCACGCGCGCUACACUGAUGCAUUCAACGAGUUUCUUCCUGGUCCGAGAGGAAUGGGUAACCUUUUGAAAGUGCAUCGUGAUAGGGAUAGACUAUUGCAAUUAUUGGUCUUCAACGAGGAAUUCCUAGUAGACGUAGUUCAUCAGACUGCAUCGAUUACGUCCCUGCCCUUUGUACACACCGCCCGUCGCUCCUACCGAUUGAAUGCUCAGGUGAGCCAUUCGGACUUUCAUCAUGCUGGUAUCCAGUUUUGAUGAAGGAAAGUCUUGCGAACCUUAUCAUUUAGAGGAAGGAGAAGUCGUAACA